UGAGGAAUAUUGCGCAAUGGGGGGAACCCUGACGCAGCGACGCCGCGUGGAUGAUGAAGGCUUUCGAGUCGUAAAAUUCUGUCAGAUGGGAAGAAGUGGAUAUAAGUUAAUACCUUGUAUGCUUGACGGUACC
This 133-nucleotide ribosomal RNA is filed under the name uncultured bacterium. RNAcentral's name for it is "partial 16S ribosomal RNA". It matches the Rfam family "Bacterial small subunit ribosomal RNA", at positions 355 to 479 of the family's 1533-position model. The record is from RNAcentral.